RNAcentral lists this ribosomal RNA (419 nucleotides) under uncultured bacterium. RNAcentral's name for it is "bacterial SSU rRNA". It matches the Rfam family "Bacterial small subunit ribosomal RNA", at positions 355 to 773 of the family's 1533-position model. The record is from RNAcentral.
UAAGGAAUAUUGCUCAAUGGGAGAAAUCCUGAAGCAGCAACGCCGCGUGGAGGAUGAAGGGUCUAUGACUUGUAAACUCCUGUAAAGAAGGAAAAAAUUCCCAUUUGAUGGGAGAUGAUGGUACUUCUGGAGUAAGCCCCGGCUAACUACGUGCCAGCAGCCGCGGUAAUACGUAGGGGGCAAGCGUUGUCCGGAUUUACUGGGUGUAAAGGGUGCUCAGGCGGAUUUGUAAGUCAGAGGUGAAAUCUUACAGCUUAACUGUGAAACUGCCUUUGAUACUGCAAGCCUAGAGUAUGGAAGAGAGUGAUUGAAUAUCUGGUGUAGCAGUGAAAUGCGUAGAUAUCAGAUAGAACACCAAUGGCGAAGGCAGUCACUUGGUCCAUUACUGACGCUAAAGCACGAAAGCGUGGGUAGCAAAC